CCAUCAAAAUUAUGAAUUUCAUCAAUAAGCAAAACUGAAUAUCAAUAAGGCAAUUUCAACUCAAAAUAAGCUCAAGAAAAAAAAAUGCCUAAAAAUAAAAAUUGAAGAUCAUUACUACAUAAAUGACUAGUACACAGUAACACAUACCAAGAAGAACUACAUUUUGUCGGAUUCUACGAGUUUACAUUAUGUAUCAAAAUAGCAGCAUUGGAAAGCACAACACAUACUCCUAUCUCUAGUUACAGUUUUCAUGUGCUGGAAGCUCCAUACACGAAUAGCUUUUGCACAAGGGAUAUAAACCAACUAAACCUAUUAAUGCCAACCAGAACGAGAACUAUCACUAUUUCAUCUUUAGCACUUGUGUUCAUAUAACAACAGCAUCUAAGUUUCCAACAUCCCUCUUUCGACUUUCUUUUUGUAAGAACAUCCCUCUUCCACCUUCUUUAUAUAAGAACAUCCCUGUUCCACUUUAAGCUUAAUGUUUCGCUACAUUGCACUUCUCAAAACAUGGAUUUUGGUGAAGGUUAUCAACACUCCAGGCUGACAGUCGCAUGAACUACACUGCGACUUUUUCAGCACAACAUGGAGUGUUCAUCCCUUUAAUGAAAUUGCCAAGCAUGCUGCAACCUAGACGCACAAGUACCAAUCCUAUAGAUUCUAAAUUUGAUAUAUAAAAAUUCAAUGUUAUAC
RNAcentral lists this long non-coding RNA (690 nucleotides) under Panax ginseng (ginseng). RNAcentral describes it as "long non-coding RNA (PGIN_LNC001648)". The record is from RNAcentral. Lineage: Eukaryota; Viridiplantae; Streptophyta; Magnoliopsida; Apiales; Araliaceae.